GGGGAGUACGGUCGCAAGACCGAAACUCAAAGGAAUUGACGGGGGCCUGCACAAGCGGUGGAGCAUGUGGUUUAAUUUGAUACAACGUGCAAAACCUUACCAGCCCUUGACAUAUGAACAACAAAACCUGUCCUUAACAGGAUGGUACUGACUUUCAUACAGGUGCUGCAUGGCUGUCGACAGCUCGUGUCAUGAGAUGUUUGGUCAAGUCCUAUAACGAGCGGAACCCUCGUUUUGUGUUGCUGAGACAUGCGCCUAAGGAGAAAUUGCCACCGAGUGACGUGCCAGCGCUACUACUUGAUUGAGUGCCAGCACGUAGCUGUGCUUUCAGCAAGAAUUUCACCAUUGGGAGCCGGUGCCUUCCGAAGCACUUUCACGUGUGAAACAAAGUCGUCUUGCCCAAGACCCACGGAGACCUACCUAUAGUGAAGUCAAAGUACCAGUGAGCAUGGAGGUUCGGUUGAAAUUGGUUACGAUGAUGUCGACUUGGCGACAUAGGAAGACUCAUCAUGAAGGCCAGAAAAUGGUGUGGAACGUAGUGGUAAUACUACGCACCCCGCUCCGAAUCAAAGAAAAAAGUGCGUGCCGCACUCACGAGGGACUGCCAGUGAGAUACUGGAGGAAGGUGGGGAUGACGUCAAGUCCGCAUGGCCCUUAUGGGCUGGGCCACACACGUGCUACAAUGGCAAUGAUAAUGGGAAGCAAGGCUGUAAGGCGGAGCGAAUCCAGAAAGAUUGCCUCAGUUCGGAUUGUUCUCUGCAACUCGGGAACAUGAAGUUGAAAUUGCUAGUAAUUGCGGAUCAGCAUGCCGUGGUGAAUAUGUACCCGGGCCCUACACACACCGCCCGUCACACCCUGGGAAUUGGUUUCGCCCGAAGCAUCGGACCAAUGAGCACCCAUGACUUCUGUGUACCACUAGUGCCACAAAGGCCUUUGAUGGUCUUAUUGGCGCAUACCACGGUGGGGUCUUCGACUGGGGUGAAGUCGUAACAAGGUAGCCGUAGGGGAACCUGUGGCUG
This 1019-nucleotide ribosomal RNA is filed under the name Triticum aestivum (bread wheat). RNAcentral's name for it is "rRNA SSU_rRNA_eukarya". It matches the Rfam family "Bacterial small subunit ribosomal RNA", at positions 875 to 1520 of the family's 1533-position model. The record is from RNAcentral. Lineage: Eukaryota; Viridiplantae; Streptophyta; Magnoliopsida; Poales; Poaceae.